UUUCCGUAGGUGAACCUGCGGAAGGAUCAUUAUUGUAUAACAGAGGUGCGAGGGCUGUCGCGGACCAGAAAGGUCGUGCACGCCCUGUUGCCCUCACACACAUACAUCUCACCCCUAUGUGCACAACCGCGAGGGUCCCACUUUGGCUGGUUCGGAGGGGGGCUUACGUUUUCACACAAACUUUGUAUGCAGUGUAGAAUGUAUUUUUUGUUUUUGCGAUCACGCAAUCAAUACAACUUUCAACAACGGAUCUCUUGGCUCUC
RNAcentral lists this unclassified non-coding RNA (263 nucleotides) under plant metagenome. RNAcentral describes it as "partial contains small subunit ribosomal RNA, internal transcribed spacer 1, and 5.8S ribosomal RNA". The record is from RNAcentral.